GCCAUGUUGAUGUUACGUAAAGUCUUCAGUCACGUUGACAAUUGGUUGGUAGACGUAUAAGUACGAUUAGUGGUUCGGCAGUUAUCCAUUUCAGUUCAUCUGCUCCAACGUAGACUUGGUAAAAAUUGGGAAUGAUGCUACGACCAAUAUUAAAGACUGGUUGAAAAAAGAAAAAGAAAUUGCUGCUAUCUCGAGUAUCUUCAGGACUUCAAUUUCCAGUUUUUUCCUUUUCUUCCACCCCAUCGGGGGCGGUGCCCCUGAUCGGGUGGAGGCGCUCCUUGUGGCUUGCAUAGUAGGCGGGUUGGCCUACUGUGCGAGUCCUUGGGAGUUUUCUUUUUCCGUUGCAGAUGACCAUGACCUUGCCCCGAGAGGUUUAGAAUGGCGGACUUAGGAUUUGGAGUAAUUGUGUGAUUAGUUCGUGGAAAACUUUUGUUGAUCUGUUACAAAGGAGAGGCUUUCCUAAUUUCAGUUUUUGAAGUGUGAUGAAACAGAUUUUGAUGAUUCUGUAACCGUAGAUUCAUGAUUAAGAAAGAUUCCAGUAUGUGCACCAUCCUGUAAUUACCAACGAUUUUAACCAUACAAAAUUGACCCUUAUGUCAGAUAAAGGGUACAUAAGCUGUCACAAAAUUCACCCUUAUGUCUGAUAAAGGGUACAUAAGAUGUCAAGUGUUAAAAAAAUUUUUAAGAUUCAAGGAUAUAAGAUUAUUAGAGAUUUCUUUAUAGUUAUAAUUUGGAUUAGUACUGUAUAUCAAAUUGUUAAUAAAUAUAAAGGAGAUUGA
Macrobrachium nipponense is the source of this 779-nucleotide long non-coding RNA. RefSeq lists it as uncharacterized. The record is from RefSeq and is a predicted model, not a curated record. Lineage: Eukaryota; Metazoa; Arthropoda; Malacostraca; Decapoda; Palaemonidae. The transcript is spliced from 3 exons.